ACAUGGCAGCUGCUCUUUUGCCACGUGGCAAGCGCCAUAAAGAGCAGCUUUCUUUUAGUUUGAAGUAUAUAGUGUUGAGAUUCAGCUCAUGCUGAAUCUCUUUCCCCUGUGCCAGACUCCAGCUUGAGGUGAACCUCAGUGCACAAGUACACCACGCAGCAAACCAGGGUUCACACACCCUCCCACAGUCCCUCCUGACCAGACCCAGGCAUCAGAUUGUAAGGAGAGAGUACAGACCAGGUGCAAACAAAAUGUGAAAUACUUUCAGUGGGUGGAACUGCAGGCCACGGAGGAGAAGAUGAUCAUUGGAAGCCUGAAACAACUAGCAAGUUGGCAGAGUGAGAAACCUGGAUGGUAUAAAUCAGCAGGGAGGCCACAGGCUCCA
Molecule: long non-coding RNA, 385 nt
Organism: Sinocyclocheilus anshuiensis
Lineage: Eukaryota; Metazoa; Chordata; Actinopteri; Cypriniformes; Cyprinidae
Exons: 3
Source: RefSeq, a predicted model, not a curated record